CCCUUAGAUGUCCGGGGCCGCACGCGCGCUACACUGAAGGAAUCAGCGUGGCUUUCUCCCUGACCCGAAAGGGUUGGGAAACCCGUUGAAUCUCCUUCGUGAUAGGGAUUGGGGCUUGAAAUUGUUCCCCAUGAACGAGGAAUUCCCAGUAAGUGCGGGUCAUAAGCUUGCGUUGAUUAAGUCCCUGCCCUUUGUACACACCGCCCGUCGCUACUACCGAUUGGAUGGUUUAGUGAGGCCCUCGGAUCGGCCCCGCCGGGGUCGGCCCACGGCCCUGGCGGAGCGCUGAGAAGACGGUCGAACUUGACUAUCUAGAGGAAGUAAAAGUCGUAACA
Molecule: ribosomal RNA, 335 nt
Filed under: uncultured eukaryote
Lineage: Eukaryota
Description: partial 18S ribosomal RNA
Rfam family: Eukaryotic small subunit ribosomal RNA
Source: RNAcentral